RNAcentral lists this long non-coding RNA (316 nucleotides) under Elaeis guineensis (African oil palm). Its description in RNAcentral is "long non-coding RNA (EGUI_LNC052306)". Lineage: Eukaryota; Viridiplantae; Streptophyta; Magnoliopsida; Arecales; Arecaceae. The record is from RNAcentral.
ACAUUCGAUAUAUCCGACCGUCGGAUACCAUUGCUAGAUGAUCACUUCGAUUGGUAUAAAAAUUUAUUUUUGUGCUACCGACUUAGGUUCGAACCUAUGAGAUCACACACAAUAGAGUUCACGAUCCGAUCAGAUGGUUGAUCAAUGAUUAAGAAUCGUUUUAGGGUUAAACGAUCAAUACGAUUGACAUUUAACCUAGUGCAAGUAUUGCAGGAGGAUCGAUUAGCAAUUUGAUUGCUAAUUGAUUUAAUUUGAUUAAGCCAAUGGGCUGAGAUUAAGUUUAAUUGAAUAUGAUUUAAUUAGAUUUAGUUUGGGC